AUGGCCGGCGCGGGCUCGUCGGACGCGGAGGCGGAGCUGCGGCGGGGCUUCAAGGCCUUGGCCGUGACGCGGCCCGACCCGGCGGCUGCGGUGUACGAGGUGCGCCUCAGCCGCCCGGCGCAGCUCAACGCGCUCAGCCCGGACUCCUUCGCGGAGAUCCCGCGCGCCAUGGCGCUGCUCGACCGCAUCCCCGCCGCGCGCGCCGUCGUGCUGUCCGCCGCGGGCCCCCACUUCUGCGCGGGCAUCGAGCUCGGCGGGCCCGGGAACCCGCUCACCGCGCCCCCCGCCCGCGGCGCCGACCCCGCGGCCAUGGCGGAGGAGCUCCGCCGCGCGAUCCUGGGCAUGCAGGCCGCGCUCACCGCCGUCGAGCUGUGCCGGAAGCCCGUCAUCGCGGCCGUGCACGGCGCCUGCGUCGGCGGUGGCGUCGAACUGGUGGCCGCCUGCGACAUACGCUGCUGCUCCAAGGACGCCACCUUCGUGCUCAAGGAGGUGGACAUGGCCAUCGUCGCCGACCUCGGCGCGCUGCAGCGCCUGCCGCGGAUCGUCGGCUACGGGAACGCGGCGGACCUCGCGCUCACCGGCCGCAGGAUCACCGCCGCGGAGGCCAAGGAGAUGGGGCUCGUCACCAGGGUGUUCGAUUCCAAGCAGGAGCUGGAUGCCGGUGUUGCGAAGAUUGCCAAAGAAAUAUCAGAGAAGUCGGCAAACGCAGUGAUGGGAACAAAGGCAGUUCUACUCAGAAGCAGAGAUAUCACUGUAGAGCAGGGCCUGGAGCAUGUAGCGACUUGGAACUCUGGAAUGCUGAGAUCUGAUGACCUGAUGGAGGCCAUCAAAGCUUUCAUGGAGAAGCGGAAGCCUGUUUUCUCUAAGCUCUGA
RNAcentral lists this ribosomal RNA (873 nucleotides) under Triticum aestivum (bread wheat). Its description in RNAcentral is "partial small subunit ribosomal RNA". Lineage: Eukaryota; Viridiplantae; Streptophyta; Magnoliopsida; Poales; Poaceae. The record is from RNAcentral.